AGUACAUAAAAGACAUGGCCUGCUUGGUGGUGAGGAGCCGACCGCAUUGGGAACCUCCUGGAAUUUCUUCUAAACUCUUACAUAUCUGACUGAGAUUGCAAGUAACUUGGCUGAAAACUGCGAGGAUCCCAUGUGAGCCUCUGACACCUGCUCAUGAUGCCUUGUACAGUCAUCCUUUCUAAGACAUUUUCCAUCACUUGUCUUCCCUGGUCGUAGAUGUGCAACUCUUCAAACAGCUCCAUUCAUGUGCUGUUUGCUCUUGAGAAUGCCAAGAGGCUCAGCAACGGGCUCAGAGAGUUUAUUUUGAUCUUCCUUUGAAGACAAUAUUUCAGAGAGAGGGAGGUAGGUGGCAGAGGAAGACUGCAGCUUGAGAGAGGAAGUGGCUCGAUGCAAGGAGCAGCAAGAAAAUCAGGUUUUCAGCAGAGCACAAACAGUUUCCAAGUUUUCUCCCAGAACCUCAGACAUUUCAGCAGCCUAAAAGGGCCCAACUGUUGUGCCAUACCUCUGUGAAGUUGUUGGCAGAGAGGAUGUCACUGGAUAGAACAUGUGGCAGCUGUAAGAGAAGGAAAAUACCAAUGGUGUAGCCUUGCCUCUUCCCCUUCACUCAUCUGAAAGCUGCUGUAGAAAUACUCCUGUACCCUGAAGAAAUUGGGACUGUGCUUGGCUAAUAUUCAGAAUUCACUCAGGCACUGCAGCCACUCUGAGCCUGGGAAAUGAAGGCACAGGUUCUCCUUGCUGGAUCAAGCCCUUGUCCUCUGUCCACCCUGAGAAAAGCUGCUGAAUACCUGCAACGAAGAUACCUGCUAAUAAAAAUAUUUGGGAAUAUCAUAA
Molecule: long non-coding RNA, 831 nt
Organism: Melospiza melodia melodia
Lineage: Eukaryota; Metazoa; Chordata; Aves; Passeriformes; Passerellidae
Exons: 5
Source: RefSeq, a predicted model, not a curated record